Acanthosepion pharaonis is the source of this 114-nucleotide non-coding RNA. The record is from the annotation of a GenBank genome assembly. Lineage: Eukaryota; Metazoa; Mollusca; Cephalopoda; Sepiida; Sepiidae.
UUACGGCCAUAUCACAUUGAAUCACUGGUUUCGGUACGAUCACCGAAGUUAAGCAACGUCGAGUCUGGUCAAUACCAAGAUGGAUGACCGCUUCUGAAUACCAGGUACUGUAAG